Long non-coding RNA from Oreochromis aureus, 400 nucleotides. RefSeq lists it as uncharacterized. Lineage: Eukaryota; Metazoa; Chordata; Actinopteri; Cichliformes; Cichlidae. The record is from RefSeq and is a predicted model, not a curated record. The transcript is spliced from 3 exons.
ACACACCUAGAUCCUCAGGUGAGUAGACUACUGGCAAGAAGCAGAGGGCGGGAUAUACCCAAUCAGCCCUCCCUUCACCAGUCAGAUCACCUGAGGGUAGGGGUGCCGGCGUCUAUGAGUCUGGGCUGUCACUCACUUUCUUGCAGUGGCUUUGGUGAAUCCAAGAUGGUCUCUCUGCUAUCUUACAGGCGGUUGGUGUGGUGAUAAGCACUUGGUAUGGACCUUCCCAGCGGGGCGAGCUCCAAUUCUUUCUCUGGAGAACUCGAAUCAGGACCCAAUCACCUGGCUUCAACCUGCAAGAUACUGGAGAAGAUUCAGAAGGCAGUUUAUUGUUCAAAACAAUAUCUUUGUUUUCUAGUAGCUUCGACAUCCAUUCUGCUAGUGUGGUCUCUCUGAUUGA